AGAGUUUGAUCCUGGCUCAGAUUGAACGCUGGCGGCAUGCCUUACACAUGCAAGUCGAACGGUAACAGGUCUUCGGACGCUGACGAGUGGCGAACGGGUGAGUAAUACAUCGGAACGUGCCCAGUCGUGGGGGAUAACUACUCGAAAGAGUAGCUAAUACCGCAUACGAUCUGAGGAUGAAAGCGGGGGACCUUCGGGCCUCGCGCGAUUGGAGCGGCCGAUGGCAGAUUAGGUAGUUGGUGGGAUAAAAGCUUACCAAGCCGACGAUCUGUAGCUGGUCUGAGAGGACGACCAGCCACACUGGGACUGAGACACGGCCCAGACUCCUACGGGAGGCAGCAGUGGCGAAUUUUGGACAAUGGGCGAAAGCCUGAUCCAGCAAUGCCGCGUGCAGGAUGAAGGCCUUCGGGUUGUAAACUGCUUUUGUACGGAACGAAAAAGCUUCUCCUAAUACGGGAGGCCCAUGACGGUACCGUAAGAAUAAGCACCGGCUAACUACGUGCCAGCAGCCGCGGUAAUACGUAGGGUGCGAGCGUUAAUCGGAAUUACUGGGCGUAAAGCGUGCGCAGGCGGUUAUGUAAGACAGAUGUGAAAUCCCCGGGCUCAACCUGGGAACUGCAUUUGUGACUGCAUGGCUAGAGUACGGUAGAGGGGGAUGGAAUUCCGCGUGUAGCAGUGAAAUGCGUAGAUAUGCGGAGGAACACCGAUGGCGAAGGCAAUCCCCUGGACCUGUACUGACGCUCAUGCACGAAAGCGUGGGGA
RNAcentral lists this ribosomal RNA (762 nucleotides) under uncultured bacterium. RNAcentral's name for it is "bacterial SSU rRNA". It matches the Rfam family "Bacterial small subunit ribosomal RNA", at positions 8 to 767 of the family's 1533-position model. The record is from RNAcentral.